GUGAGGAAUAUUGGUCAAUGGACGAGAGUCUGAACCAGCCAAGUCGCGUGAAGGAAGACGGUUCUAUGAAUUGUAAACUUCUUUUGUGCAGGAAUAAAGUGGGUUACGUGUAACCUUUUGUAUGUACUGUACGAAUAAGGAUCGGCUAACUCCGUGCCAGCAGCCGCGGUAAUACGGAGGAUCCGAGCGUUAUCCGGAUUUAUUGGGUUUAAAGGGUGCGUAGGUGGAUUGAUAAGUCAGCGGUGAAAGUUUGCAGCUUAACUGUAAAAUUGCCGUUGAAACUGUCGGUCUUGAGUGCAAAUGAGGUAGGCGGAAUGUGUUGUGUAACGGUGAAAUGCUUAGAUAUAACACAGAACUCCGAUUGCGAAGGCAGCUUACUGGGAUGCAACUGACACUGAUGCACGAAAGCGUGGGUAUCAAACAGGAUUAGAAACCCUUGUAGUCC
This 445-nucleotide ribosomal RNA is filed under the name uncultured bacterium. RNAcentral's name for it is "partial 16S ribosomal RNA". It matches the Rfam family "Bacterial small subunit ribosomal RNA", at positions 354 to 796 of the family's 1533-position model. The record is from RNAcentral.